Molecule: ribosomal RNA, 465 nt
Filed under: Vreelandella stevensii
Lineage: Bacteria; Pseudomonadati; Pseudomonadota; Gammaproteobacteria; Oceanospirillales; Halomonadaceae
Description: partial 16S ribosomal RNA
Rfam family: Bacterial small subunit ribosomal RNA
Source: RNAcentral
CCUACGGGUGGCUGCAGUGGGGAAUAUUGGACAAUGGGGGGAACCCUGAUCCAGCCAUGCCGCGUGUGUGAAGAAGGCCCUCGGGGUGUAAAGCACUUUCAGUGAGGAAGAACGCCUGGUGGUUAAUACCCAUCAGGAAAGACAUCACUCACAGAAGAAGCACCGUCUAACUCCGUGCCAGCAGCCGCGGUAAUACGGAGGGUGCGAGCGUUAAUCGGAAUUACUGGGCGUAAAGCGCGCGUAGGUGGCUUGAUAAGCCGGUUGUGAAAGCCCCGGGCUCAACCUGGGAACGGCAUCCGGAACUGUCAAGCUAGAGUGCAGGAGAGGAAGGUAGAAUUCCCGGUGUAGCGGUGAAAUGCGUAGAGAUCGGGAGGAAUACCAGUGGCGAAGGCGGCCUUCUGGAAUGCAACUGACGCUGAGGUGCGAAAGCGUGGGUAGCGAACAGGAUUAGAUACCCGUGUAGUC